Molecule: long non-coding RNA, 423 nt
Filed under: Trifolium pratense (red clover)
Lineage: Eukaryota; Viridiplantae; Streptophyta; Magnoliopsida; Fabales; Fabaceae
Description: long non-coding RNA (TPRA_LNC012788)
Source: RNAcentral
GUACUCGUCCCUUAUAUAUCAACACAAGUAGCCAAGACCUAUAUUUUUCUCUCAAGUUCAGUGUAGUGCUUUUUUCAAUAAUCAACCCAAUGUUUUUCACUUUGUGACAUGGCCCAGGCUCACAUUUUCUAUUCUCACCCCACAAAGACUUUGCACUUAUGAUAUAUACUUGUUUUGUACAAAAUUAUGGGACUUUAAAUUGACUAUUUUUUCAUUCAAACUUUCUUACCUGCUGACAAUUCAAAUAAAACACUAAACUUUGGCGGAUUAGAGAUUAGUCUAAAGAAAAGAUAUAUAAGUCACACAAAUAUUUCAAAACCACAAUUUAUUCAAAUUUCCUUUAAAUUAAUUAUUAAACUAAUAACAAUAAACUAAAACUUAAUUAAAAAGACUCUAAAAACUACAUUUGACGAGACGUCAUCA